AGCCGCGUCGAUUGGAUCGGGAAACUCAUCAAAUUAAUAGAAAUACCGAGACAAGCUUCGCUUCUCAAUGGCGGGCCACGCCUCUUCGGGGGUAACUUUAUGUCGGUGGAUUACAAAGAGGACGAGCACUCAAAUCAUGUCAUUCGGAGUUUCAUCUUCAAUCAAUAUCGAUGCGGCUUC
RNAcentral lists this small RNA (180 nucleotides) under bovine gut metagenome. RNAcentral describes it as "Bacteroidales-1 6S-Bacteroidales RNA suggested". It matches the Rfam family "Bacteroidales-1 6S-Bacteroidales RNA suggested". The record is from RNAcentral. RNAcentral also lists the same sequence under 1 other name.